RNAcentral lists this signal recognition particle RNA (290 nucleotides) under Otolemur garnettii (small-eared galago). RNAcentral describes it as "Metazoan signal recognition particle RNA". It matches the Rfam family "Metazoan signal recognition particle RNA". From Rfam's summary of the family: The signal recognition particle (SRP) is a universally conserved ribonucleoprotein. It is involved in the co-translational targeting of proteins to membranes. The eukaryotic SRP consists of a 300-nucleotide 7S RNA and six proteins: SRPs 72, 68, 54, 19, 14, and 9. The record is from Rfam by way of RNAcentral. Lineage: Eukaryota; Metazoa; Chordata; Mammalia; Primates; Galagidae.
GCCAGGCAUUGUGGCGGGUGCCUGUGGUCCCAGCUACUUAGGAGGCUGAGGCAGAAGACUCACUUGAGCCCAGGAGUUGGAGGUUGCUGUGAGCUGUGAUGCCAAAGCACUGUACCCAGGGGGAUAGCUUGAGGCUCUGUCUCAAAAGAAAAAAACAAUUCUAUUUUUCCUAUUUGAUUGCCUUUUUUUUUUGAGACAGAGCCUCAAGUUAUCGCCCCAGGAGGAGUGCUGUGACGUCACAGCUCACAGCAACCUCAAACUUCUGGGCUUAAGUGAUUCUCUUGCCUCCG